GAUUUAAAAAAUAAGUGUAUAAAUUAAUAAUUAUAAAACCAUGUUGAUAAGUUUAUAAUGUUUAAACAUGUAAUUUGUGAUAAUAGCACAAAGAAGAAGAGAGAGUAGAGCUAUAUUAAAGAUUUUAUAUGUGAUUGAAAUUAAGUUGGUAUUAAUUCAAACUUUAUUGUCUUAAGAUGUUAUUGUCAUCUCUAUGGAAUCCACUAGGACAAUAACUUCAAAAAAAUGCAUGCAUAUAUGCUGGGGGGAAGAGGAGAGAGAGAGAAAGAGCAGGGAAAUUAAAAUAUUAUACUACAAAAUAUCUAACACAAAAGAAGGCAGUAAUAAAUAGGGGAACAAAAAACUCUAAUACAUAUGGAAAACAAGUGGUGAAAUGGCAGAUAUAAAGCCUACCUGAUCAGUAAUUACAUUAAAUGUAAAUGAACUAACCACUCCCUUAAAAGGCAGAGAUUGGCAGAAUAGGUAAAUAAAUAUGAUCCAACUCUAUACUGUCUAUGAGAGAUACACUUUAGAUUCAAAGACACAAAGAGGUGAAAAGUAAAAGGAUAGAAAAAAUUAAACCAUGCAAACAGUACCCAAAAGAAAGACGGAGUUGCUAUACUAAUAGAAGACAAAACAAGUUUUAUGGCUUUUUACUAGAUACAAAGAAUGACAUGUUAUCAGGUUAAGAGGGUAAAUCAUCAGAAAGACAUAACAACUGUAAACAUACACCUGCCUACCAACAGAGUCCCAAAAUACAUGAAGCAAAAAUGGACAGAACUGAAGUGAGAUACAGAGAGUUCAAGAGUGAGACUUCUAAUCCACUUUCAAUAAUGGAUACACCAACUAGAUAGAAGAUCAACAAGAAAAUAGAAGACCUGAACGUCGUAGAAACCAAUGAGACCUAAAGACAUGAAUGAACACUUUCAAUAAUGGAUACACCAACUAGAUAGAAGAUCAACAAGAAAAUAGAAGACCUGAACGUCGUAAAAACCAAUGAGACCUAAAGACAUGAAUGAACACUUUCUCCAACAACAACAGAAUACACGUUUUUUCUCAAGUAUAUUCUCCAAGCUACAUCAUAUGUUAGGUCAUAAAACAAACCUUAGCAGGUUUAAAAUGACUGAAAUUAUACAAAGUAUGUUCUCUGACCACAGUGGCAUAAAAUUAGAAAUCAAUGAAUGAAGGAAAUUUGAAAAAUUUACAAGUAUUUGGAUAUUAAAUAACAUACUUCUUGAUAAUCAAUAGGCAAAUAUAAAGAAUCACAAAGACAUUUAGAAAAUACUUUGAAACAAAUUAAAUCAAAUGUACAACAUGCCAAAAAUGAUGAGAUGCAGCUUAAGCAAGAGUUAGGGGUGAGGGGAAGGGUGACUAUAAACUAGUAGAUGAGGAAGUUUUUUCUGGUGUCAGAACUAUUUUAUAUCCUGAUUGUGGUGGCAGUUACACAAAUCUAUACAUGUGUUAUAAUUCAUAGAACAGUACACAUUUUCACACAAAGGCUUGUUCUGUUAUGCUAAUUUAAAAAUAAAACUGUAGAAGCUAUAUCAGAAUUUGUACAGAUGAUUAUUAUGUAUCUUAAAUGAUAGAUAUCUGCAAGACCUUCAUUAAAGAAGAACUCCUUAAAGCUCCUGGUACCAGCCGUAUGCUUUCUUCAGUUAUGCAAAUAAAAUAUUUGAUUUAAUUACAGGAAAAAAAGUAGGAACAAGACAGGGAUGUCUACCACUACUACUACUGCAACAACUACUACUUCUAAACAACAUUGCACUGGAGGUCCAAAAAUAAUUGAAGACACAAGGAUUGGAAGAAGGAAAUAAAAACAUCAUUAUUUGUAAGCAGGGGAGGAGGGAGACCAAGAAAUAGAGAGAAAACUGAUCAUACCCCUCCUUCUUCAGCGCAGAUGUUCUGGUCUGAGACUGACCUGAGCCAAGAGAGGAGAGAAUUUGUAAUGAAUUCUGGAGUCCUAAUGUUAAACAGGACUAGACGCUUUACUACCUAAAAAAGAGGCUAUUGUUUAGCAGGGAAAGUGACUAAUCUAUAAGAGUUGCCAAAAAUGUCAGGAGCCAAGAGCAUUAAAAACACUAGAUGCUGUGAACAAAAAGGUCUGCUUUCUGAUUGCACCAUAAUAAGACAAGCUAAUUAAGUAUGCUGAUGAGAUGUUCACCCCCUGAUAUGAUAAAAGCAAGAGAGAGACAUGGAAGGGAGGCCAGGACCUGCUCUGCAACUUCCCUGCCCCAGUUCCCUCCAUCUCCUCCACACAGAGGAGCAGGAAACACAGGCAACUUCCCAACUCAAAGUAAACAAAGCCAAUACCUACCCUGCGUUCCUGGAAUUUACAAUCUAAGACAGCAUUGAUGUGAAGGGGCAUGUAAGGCUUAUGGACAACUAAACAAGCCUUUCCCAUUAAAACUGGAACCCAUUAAAGAAAAAGGAUUUGCUAUCUGCAGGGAAAGUAUUCUUUGGAAGGGCUUCCUGCUGAUUCUGAAUCUCAAAGUUGGUGAGUGAGAAGAGCAGGCUGAGCCCUCUUCACUGCUAUCUGAGGACCAACACCGUGCAACGGGCAGGAUGCUGAGUCCAGGAGGAAUGGGAAGUCCCCCAUUAGUGGGAGGACCAGGUCUGUAACAGACACACAGAUGUGCACACACACAAACACACAGUUAAACACACGAGGAAGUGUUAGAAGGUGCUGGAGGAGGGAGGAGUCAAGUGAGGCCCCAGGAGGUGGUACUGGAGGUGGUCUUGAAGGAUGAGCAGGGGCCCAGGAACAAGGGAGGAUCAAGACUUCCAGUGACAAAUAUCGAGGAGCAGAUGGAGACCAUGGGGAUUGGAGACUUGUGCAGGAAAGGGCGGGAAUUGCACCGGCUGGGAGCAGUUAACAGGGCAAUCAAAGGACCCUGGUUGGUUUCCUUUUCCAAGAAAAUAACUCAUAGCUUGACAGAGGCAGGAUUAGAAGAGGCCAGCCUAGAGUCUGCGGCCCACGUCUACAGAGAUUACAAGGGAGCUGAGCAAAUGGCAGCCUUUGGGGAGAGGAAGAGAUGUUGUCAUAGUGGUCUAGAUAGGACUUGCACACUGGGUACGAGGCCUGAGAGGCCAGUGAAGAUCUUUCUUUUGUGUCCCAAAGUGCUGAAUGAUGGCAGUGAUCCCCCAAAACUAAGUCAACACAAAAAUAAUUCUCCACCAUAAGUCACAUGCAAGGGAGUAUAUCAAAUUUAGCUUCCCAUGAUGAUUAUUUCAUUGCCUUUCAUGAACUAUCCAAAAUCAAAUUAUUUUUUAAAUUAUUUAAUAUAUUUAAUUUAAUAAUUAAUAUAAUUAUAUUUUAAAAAUUAUUUUGAGUUUUUGUGCCAUCCUUGUGCCUUCAACAUUGUAAGUGUGCUUAUGAUGCCCAUUUAAAAUUCAUUUAACAUCAUGUGUCAUCAGAGAACUGUAAAUUAAAACAAUGAGAUACCACUACACAUCUGUUAGAAUGACCAAAAUCCAGAGCGCUGACGACACCAAAUGCCAGUGAGGAUAUGGAGCAACAGGAACUUUCAUUCAUUGCUGGUGGGAAUGCAAACGAUCCAGCUACUUUGGCAGACAGUUUGUCAAUUUCUUAGAAAACUAAACAUACUCUUACCGUAUGAUCUAGCAAUCAUGCUCCUGGCUAUUUACCUAAAUGAGCUGCAAAGUUAAAUCCACACAAAAACCUGCACACAUAUAUUUAUAGCAUUCAUAACUGCCAAAAUCUAAAAGCAACCAAGGAGUCCUUCAGUAGGUGAAUGGAUAAAUAAGCUGCAGUACAAGCAGAAAAUCAAAUAUGAUGCGCUGAUGAAAUAAAUGAGUUAUCAAGCCAUGAAAGACAUAAAUGAAGCUUAAAUGAUUAUUGCUAAAUGAAAAAAGCCAAUCUGAAGAGGAUACAUGCUGUAUGAUUUCCUAGGAAAAAAAUCAGUGGUUGCCAGGAGUUAGUGGGGAGGGUGAGAUGAGUAAAGUGACAUGUAGAGGAAUUGUAGGGCCAUGAAACAGCUUUGUAUCUAUAUCUGUAUCUGUAUCAACUGUAUCUGUAUCUGUAACUGUCACUGUGUCUGUAUCUGUAACUGUCACUGUAUCUGUAUGUGUAUCUGCAACUGUAUAGUAUCUGUAUAUUUAAAACUGUAUCUGUAUUUGAAACUAUAUCUGUGACUGUAACUGUAUCUGUUACUGUAUCUGUAUCAGUAACUGUAUCUGUAACUGUAUGGGUACCUGUAUUUGUAUCUGUAUCUGUAUUUAAAACUGUAUCUAGGCCAG
RNAcentral lists this long non-coding RNA (4236 nucleotides) under Homo sapiens (human). RNAcentral's name for it is "HSALNT0253100". The record is from RNAcentral. Lineage: Eukaryota; Metazoa; Chordata; Mammalia; Primates; Hominidae.